Molecule: long non-coding RNA, 924 nt
Filed under: Gorilla gorilla gorilla (western lowland gorilla)
Lineage: Eukaryota; Metazoa; Chordata; Mammalia; Primates; Hominidae
Description: lncRNA (ENSGGOG00000044502.1)
Rfam family: Histone 3' UTR stem-loop (bases 816-859)
Source: RNAcentral
AUGUCAGUUUAAUGGUAUCAGAGGAAAAGAGAGCAGUGUUUCCCUGUUUCGGUGGAGCACUGCACUUAUAAAUCCCGAAGAAUGGCUCUGCUUGGCUGAGCUUGGCCAUGAUCACCUGUAGUUUCUCGAGGUGCCAUGAUUGAGAUCGGAGCCACCUGCCUGGAGGAAGGACAGGCUGUUUUCCACAGGGGCGGGAUGUUCUUACCAGAAGGACAGAAGGCAGUUGAGUGACCAGGAUGACAGAUGCUGCCAUGCAAGGGUUGUGGGUGCACCUGGGUUGGCACCGUGUCUGAUCCAGGAGGAUUACAGGAUGAGCUUAUCAUGGAACAUAAGAAAAAUAAAACAGAUGUCAGCCUGUGUAUGAAGAAUUCAUCCACAAGAUUUGAGCAGACCGAAGACCGUGAGACUUCCUACCCACAGUGAGCUAAAAGGACGCUUUUGUCAGAGUGGGGAAAUAAAAGGGCUUUAUGGGAAGGAAGAUAAGAACAGAUGAGUCAGAGGUUUCUGCUUAAUGCUCACUCUUCAAUUCUUUCUCAAGCAAAACCAAGAAUCUUCUUGGGCUAAGCCCCAAUUUGGGGUUCACCUGCCUUGCAGCAACAUGGCACCAAACAUGGGGCAGAAGAGAGAAAACGACAGCAUGAGAGACGGAGAAAGAAAUGGCAGUUGGCAAGGUGGUAAUGAGAGACAGCAGUUGGCAAGACAGUGAGAGACAGUAAGAGAUGGCAAGUGACAGUUAUUGUUAAGAUGACACAUGGAGAGAUGGCAAGAAAUAGAGAAGCAGUCAGUGAUGGAGGCUGCAAGAGUUGUAACACUAACCAAAGGCUCUUUUUAGAGCCAUCAUUUUUCCUGGCAGGUGGUACAGCCAAGCAGACAGGCAAGUGGCCAUACUGCUGCUGCCUCAUGUAGGAUCCGGCAGGCUGGUGG